AGGCCAGGCACUACUCUGUCCCAACAAUAAGCCCUGUACAUUGGGAAAGGUGCCGAGACAUGAACUUUGGUCUUCUCUGCAAUCCAUCUGGAGCAUUCAGUGACAACAUCGACUUUGAAGUUGCACUGACCUGGCCAGCCCUGCCACUUACCAGGUUGGGCUGUGGCUUGCCUUUUCACUUCUUGUGUCCUGUUUAAGAAAUAUCUACUAUCCCAAGAUAACACUAACAAAGUUGACCUUAGAAUUGGAGUGCCUGGGUUAGAACCCUGCUGGUACCACCUGCUUACUGCAUGCUUCUGAUGUGAGUUCAGGAGAAGACACUGGCAAGGACAGCAAAGAACAGGAGAACACUCUAGCUUCCCUGAUAGCAUUCAAGGUGCUGUCCAAACUGACUGUGAUGGCACCCUCCAGACAGACAGCGAUGCCACAUGUUCAAGAUGGCAGAAUCACUAUCAGCUUCAAUUCCUGAAUGACUGCAGAGCAAAAUUUCUUACCCGCAACAUACACUCUAUUUUCAGCCUCCCUGGACUGUUACAUAAUGAUACAUAAAAAUAUUUCUUGUGUUGAGGCAUCCCAAAUUUGAUCUAUUUGUCAUCACAGUCUAUCCUCUGAAUAUAUUUCUGAUCCAAAUAAUGCUAGAUUCAUGCGAGUUUAUAGUCCAGAGAUUUUUUUUUUUUUUUUUUUUUGAGACAGAAUCUCACUGUCUCCCAGGCCGGGGUGCAGUGGCAUAAUCUUAGCUCACUGCAACCUCCACCUCCUGGGCUCAAGUGAUCCUCCCUCCUUAGCCUCCAUGAGUAGCUGGGACCACAGGUGUGCACCACCACACCCCGCUAAUUAUUUUGUAUUUUUUGCAGAGGGGGGUUUCACCACAUUGCCCAAGCUGGUCUCAAACUCCUAGACUUAAGGGAUCUGCCCGCCUUGGCCUCCCAAAAUGCUGAAAUUACACUUGUUAGCCAUAGUAAUAGUUCCUAGCCACAGUCCGGAGAUAUUUUAAAAACUUUAGUGUGAGUUAUUUCUCUUUGCUGUAAUUCUCUCAUGCAUUUUGAAAACCUUUUCUGCCAUACAGUGGUUUUUGGGAAGUCCUUUUGGACAGACAUAUCACAGGAUGGAGAAACUAAAGAGAGAGAAUGCAUUAAAGAAAAAAUAGUACUUCGUAUUUCAGAAAUUACAAAAGGGUGUCAUGCCCCACAGCAUGGUGGGCAGUCAUUUGUAACCCACAGAACAUUGAGUUUCUAAAAUUUGAGUGUUUUUAACUUACGAAGGCCAACUUUACUGAUGAAGUGAUUACCCCAAAUAUGUGAAAUCCAUAUUUCAAGCACAAUAGCAGGAAAUCGGAAAUGGGUAGGUAUAUUUCUGACUGUCAAAGAGUACAAAGUAAAGAGGGGCCCCUGAAGAGUGACACUACUGGAAAAA
Molecule: long non-coding RNA, 1413 nt
Filed under: Pan troglodytes (chimpanzee)
Lineage: Eukaryota; Metazoa; Chordata; Mammalia; Primates; Hominidae
Description: lincRNA
Source: RNAcentral